This 253-nucleotide ribosomal RNA is filed under the name uncultured bacterium. Its description in RNAcentral is "partial 16S ribosomal RNA". It matches the Rfam family "Bacterial small subunit ribosomal RNA", at positions 524 to 776 of the family's 1533-position model. The record is from RNAcentral.
UACGGAGGGUGCAAGCGUUGCUCGGAAUUAUUGGGCGUAAAGGGCAGGUAGGUGGUCUCAUUUGUCUGGGGUGAAAUCCUUGAGCUUAACUCAAGAAGUGCCUCAGAAACGGUGAGACUGGAGUUCUGGAGAGGGUCGUGGAAUUCCCGGUGUAGCGGUGAAAUGCGUAGAGAUCGGGAGGAACACCUGAGGCGAAGGCGGGCUACUGGGCCGAUACUGACGCUGAUGCGCGAAAGCCAGGGGAGCGAACGGG